AGUGAACGCUGGCGGUAGGCCUAACACAUGCGAGUCGAACGGCAGCACAGUAAGAGCUUGCUCUUACGGGUGGCGAGUGGCGGACGGGUGAGGAAUACAUCGGAAUCUACUUUUUCGUGGGGGAUAACGUAGGGAAACUUACGCUAAUACCGCAUACGACCUACGGGUGAAAGCAGGGGAUCUUCGGACCUUGCGCGAUUGAAUGAGCCGAUGUCGGAUUAGCUAGUUGGCGGGGUAAAGGCCCACCAAGGCGACGAUCCGUAGCUGGUCUGAGAGGAUGGUCAGCCACACUGGAACUUAGACACGGUCCAGACUCCUACGGGAGGCAGCAGUGGGGAAUAUUGGACAAUGGGCGCAAGCCUGAUCCAGCCAUACCGCGUGGGUGAAGAAGGCCUUCGGGUUGUAAAGCCCUUUUGUUGGGAAAGAAAAGCAGCAGGUUAAUACCCCGCUGUUCUGACGGUACCCAAAGAAUAAGCACCGGCUAACUUCGUG
Molecule: ribosomal RNA, 492 nt
Filed under: uncultured bacterium
Lineage: Bacteria
Description: partial 16S ribosomal RNA
Rfam family: Bacterial small subunit ribosomal RNA
Source: RNAcentral